UUUUUAGCAUAAGUAUGUCUCAAAAUAUUUGGAACAUACUUAUGCUAAAA
RNAcentral lists this microRNA precursor (50 nucleotides) under Pongo abelii (Sumatran orangutan). RNAcentral describes it as "mir-1302 microRNA precursor family". It matches the Rfam family "mir-1302 microRNA precursor family". The record is from Rfam by way of RNAcentral. Lineage: Eukaryota; Metazoa; Chordata; Mammalia; Primates; Hominidae.